Molecule: ribosomal RNA, 529 nt
Filed under: Holothuria excellens
Lineage: Eukaryota; Metazoa; Echinodermata; Holothuroidea; Aspidochirotida; Holothuriidae
Description: partial 16S ribosomal RNA
Rfam family: Bacterial large subunit ribosomal RNA
Source: RNAcentral
AGCCCCUUGCUCUACAUAAGGGGUCACGCCUGCCCGGUGGACACCCUAAACGGCCGCGGUAUCUUGACCGUGCAAAGGUAGCAUAAUCACUUGUCCUUUAAAUGGGGACUCGUAUGAAUGGCAAAACCUCUUUUGACUGUCUUUCCCGCCCUCCUUAUAAACUCACAUCCAUGUGAAGAGUCAUGGAUGUUAAAGAAAGACGAGAAGACCCUGUCGAGCUUUAGUCCAAAGGAGAAUAAAAGAGUCAACUUUUAAAGCUCGUUUUCUACAUCUUCUAAAGACUUUGGUUGGGGCAACCAUGGAGAAAAACAACCCUCCAGAAACAGCAGAAGAAAACCAAUUCUCUGUAUAAAAAUAGUGAACCAGGAACUGGAAAACGGAAAAAGUUACCGCAGGGAUAACAGCGUUAUCUUCUCUAAGAGUCCUUAUUGACGAGAAGGUUUGCGACCUCGAUGUUGGAUUAGGGCCCCCACAGGGUGCAGAAGCUCUAAAAGGUUGGACUGUUCGUCCAUUAAAGCCCUACGUGAUC